CUUUACCACUCUAUAUACAAACCCUAGCCGUUUUCCAUUCUCGUUUUCACUGAGAAUCCAUCUCUCAAUCAUCAGUCAAACUCAGCGAACCGAAAUAGGUCCCGCUUCCUUCCAGUGAUAGAAGACUAACAUAUCUACAAAUCCCAACUUUUUUUUCGAAGAACGCCGUUUGGAGGUCGAAAUCAAUUCCGUUUAUUUCCCGUGAAAGUAGACUCACGCAUCUACGUUUCUACACCUUUCGUUCGUCAAACG
Long non-coding RNA from Mercurialis annua (annual mercury), 252 nucleotides. RefSeq lists it as uncharacterized. The transcript has 3 exons. NCBI's taxonomy places the organism in Eukaryota, Viridiplantae, Streptophyta, Magnoliopsida, Malpighiales, Euphorbiaceae. The record is from RefSeq and is a predicted model, not a curated record.